Molecule: long non-coding RNA, 3407 nt
Organism: Drosophila suzukii
Lineage: Eukaryota; Metazoa; Arthropoda; Insecta; Diptera; Drosophilidae
Source: RefSeq, a predicted model, not a curated record
UCUCACUUGUCUCACUUCGAGUUCUGCUUCGAGCCGCCGCAGUUGAUUUUAAGAAGCCAGCGCACACACGUGUGCGGAGGCCGUACGUAAACUUGUGUUCUUCGACUCACAGCAUCGCAAGUCGCGGGUUUUCCAAGCUGUAGGAUGUGGUAACUGGUAUACCUCUACUCGCAGAUUGCAGUACUCGGGAGAAACUGCAUAGCAGGGAGAAUUUUGCGACCCUCGGAAUACUUAUUAAGUUGACCCCUACCAACUCACUAAUCAGCAUCAAUAUAUCCAAAAUUGUUUCGGUUGCCAAUAGAGCAUACUGUUAGGGAGAGUCGAUGAAGGACUGAAGAAUUCCAAGAAAUAGGCCUUUGUUUGGCAGCCUUUUUUAAGUUUUUUUAUUUAUGUAUAAUGUAAUCUUUAUUUUGUAGGGCUUACCUAAUCGCCCAAAACAAAUUCAUUGUUUACUAUAAAAAAUGUCACUUAACUAUGUUUUAUUUGUUAGAUAACUAUCAAAAUAGCUAUUUAACCACAAUCCAUGGGUUGGGUUCAAUCUACCCACUUUUAUAGUAUUACGUAAGAGUAACUAUUUGAUGGGUAAAAUAAACAAUUCGAUGGUUGGUAACCGCUAUACUAUUAAUUUUACCAAAUGGUUUUUGGAGUGUAGGAAUCCAAAAGCUUACAGUUCCAAUUUCCGAAAAAUUUGGCUUUACUUUGAUUUUCCGCCAAUUUUGGGAGUGGUAGUAAAUCUCGAGCAGUUUAAUACAAUAAUCCAGUGUCCAGGACCCUAUAAGCUAAUUUCUAUGGCAAAAAGGUGCUUUGUAUCAAAAGUUAUAAAGUUUCGAACUUGAAAAGAAAUUAAACGAGCUGUUUUAAAAAAAUAUCCAUAAAGUGGCAAGAAAAACUUGUAACUAUAAUGUACACUUAGCACGUAUCUGUAGCAUCAGUCGUUUAGAAACUUUAAAAUUUCCCGCCAAACUAGGGGGUUUUUCAAAAAUGCAAUAAUCUGGAAAUCGCGACCCCAAACUAUAACGGGAUGCACCCCUGUCACAAACAAAGGGACAAUCAUUUUAAUUUUCAAAAGAGCAUUUUAUUUUAGGAAUAACUUUUAAACGGAUUUUUACAAAAGUUCGAAUUACACUCGAAGCGUACUUUCAGUCAAAUUGCAACGAGGCUUGAUCCUGGGGGAUCUUUACAGGGAUCCACAGUGUAAGGUAUAAUUCUUUAGCUUUUUGUAGCGUUUAGACUUUGCUGACCUGUGUAAUUGGACACCUUCAGUAUAUGUUAUGGCUCUAGGGCAAAACGUGAUUACAACUAGUAGCAUAUCUAUAAGCUUGGACUCCAAAUAAGUGUUAUGUUUAAAAAAUUAAAACGCAAAACAGCGUCCAACAAAAAAUUCAAAAAAUUACAUUGAAUUAUUUUUAUUUUUGCUUAUGGCAAAACGUGAUAAAUUAAACACAUUUAUGAUCUACGAGUCAAUACCAAUGACGGCGAAUGGACCGCGUUGGACCGUUAGCUAAAUUUGGUUUUAUGUUAAUCGAAAGCACGAAUUCUUAAGAGCAAGAUGAAUUAUCGGCACUCAAUUUUUAUUUACAAAUUUGGAAAUGAAUAGUGGAGAAUAAGACUAAUUUUCAGUUUGUAUAAAAAAAAGCACAUAAUAUUAUAAUAAAAAUUGCAGAAAAGACUUAUUUUCAAGGUUUUCGGGUUGAAACUUUAAUUUUUCAGAGCUUUUUGUUGUUCUUUUAUUUUGGUUUAUUAAGAAUAAUUACCUUUAAAAGGUUCGCUAUGAAAUGAACCCUAUAAAUGCUAAAAAACAUUGUUUUUAAUGCAAAUUUAAAGAAUACAAAUUGGCCCAUGAGCUUUUUUGGAAGAGUCACACAACAAUUUCCCCAAGAAAAGGGUUUUGAGACUAGUGAUUUCAAGGCCGGCGGUUGUUGCUGCAGCCUAAGCUUUAGAAAAUCAUUUUUUCACCUUGAGAUAUACAAAAUGACAUAUUUUAACCAAAAAAGUUUUAAUAUCGAAUUUUAAGGUCUUUUAAACCCUUUCUAUAAACAGUGUUUUUUUGCUAAUUUUUUAGAGAUGUAAAAACCGUCCGCAUUGUGGGCGUAUCCAAUAUUACUAAAUCCAAUAUUACUAAAAAUGUAACCUUUAAAAAACAGAAAAAAGGUAUUGUGCUGUAGCACAAAGAAGAAUUGGUGCUUUUUUUGUGGCAGCUGUAUGUACGUUUUUUGCUGCAAUACAUUUUUCAGGUAGUCAUUAAAAAACAAGUCUCUUACGUGCUAUAUUAUGAUUUUAUACAAAUUAUUAACAAAAAUCCCCCCGUUCUCAUAACCCACUGUUGGGUUAUCCUCACCACCACAUAAACAAUACACGAUUUUAAGAUAGGCCUUGCCAAGUGCCUCUUCCCCAAAAUGAAUGUAUUUAUUUUUUUCUCUACACCAUUUUGUUUGGUCCGCAGAAAUAGGAGUGUCCCAUUUGCUGAUUUUCUUCUUUUCAUUAUUUUUGUUUUUGUAAUUCCAAAACUUCCGCAAAAUGAGGGUGGAUUUGUAUUGUGGAUGGCUCGGACGAAUGCUCGGCCAACCAUUUUGUUUUCGCUCACUUCCAGAGUACUCACCCCCAUCAGCACCAACAUAAUCAGAUGCGGCAUCUUAAAAACGCAGCAAUCGUUAUUUUUCUGUACGAACUUUACGAUUAUGUAACUCAUAUAUUUUGAACAAAACUAUCUUAGUUGCCUUUAAACAAAAUAAUUUCUUCUCUACAUGUGUGUGAGCUUAUACGACAAUCAUAGUUUAAAACAAGAAGUGCCUCGACUAUCGAAUACCCCGUACUCAGCUGAAGGGAGCGCAAGGCAUAUACAUUUAAGCAAUCGGCAAAGCAACUUUGUUCGGAAUUGCAGAACGCCACAUAGCGGCGAUUACAUUGUUUGGUCUAAAUGGACGGUCCGAUAUAAAUAGUUUGUAGGUAGAUAAAUUGACAUCCAAAACAAAUCCUAUUUACCAAAUUUACCUUUGAUCUGCGCAUGCUAUCUUCACUUUCAAAAGACCUUUAAAUCUAACAAACUUGCCCUGAAUCAUUUACUAAGGAUUCAAAGUAGGAGUCGCAACCCUCUAGGUCUUAUAGUUUCAGAGAUCACAUCGACUCGGCUAGUGAUUCUCGACCAGGAGAAUAUAAAUACUACCAUUUUACUCUACUCUAGGUCCAGUAAAAUAGAUUGGCUCAAGUAUAAGAUACCCCUUAUUUAACUAAAAGAAGCCCAAAGGAGAUGCAGAUAUGCAUGCAAGCAGCAAAGCCACUGAUUCCGAUAUUGCACACUCGACUCGCUCCACCUAUCAGGGCGCCAUACAGAAUUUAUAUAUAAGAAAUGUUCUUUUACGAUUUCCAUUGUGACUAAAGCAAACAAAUAAAUGAAAAAAGGGUUACUG